AUGAAUUUUGACAAACAUAUUUCAUAAUCAAUUUUGACAAAUAUAUUUGACUUGUAGUUUUGCAGCACGAGGACUGAUCUGUGAAGCUAAGUAAUCUUAAAAAUAAAAUCUUUUAAGAUCUUGACUCCGGUAACUAUACCCAACAUUGUUUCAGUAAAAGCUUCUUUUUUUUGUUCUCUUUAACUAUAUAUAUUCCUUUCUUGUUGUUGGUAAAUUUAAAACAAUGGUUUAAUUAAUCUUGAAGCAGAAAAGCACAUAUUAA
Molecule: unclassified non-coding RNA, 262 nt
Filed under: Hevea brasiliensis (rubber tree)
Lineage: Eukaryota; Viridiplantae; Streptophyta; Magnoliopsida; Malpighiales; Euphorbiaceae
Source: RNAcentral